Molecule: ribosomal RNA, 460 nt
Filed under: uncultured bacterium
Lineage: Bacteria
Description: partial 16S ribosomal RNA
Rfam family: Bacterial small subunit ribosomal RNA
Source: RNAcentral
CCUACGGGCGGCAGCAGUGAGGAAUAUUGGUCAAUGGACGCAAGUCUGAACCAGCCAUGCCGCGUGCAGGAAGACGGCUCUAUGAGUUGUAAACUGCUUUUGUACGAGGGUAAACGCAGAUACGCGUAUCUGUCUGAAAGUAUCGUACGAAUAAGGAUCGGCUAACUCCGUGCCAGCAGCCGCGGUAAUACGGAGGAUUCAAGCGUUAUCCGGAUUUAUUGGGUUUAAAGGGUGCGUAGGCGGUCGGAUAAGUUAGAGGUGAAAUCCCGAGGCUCAACUUCGGAAUUGCCUCUGAUACUGUUCGUCUAGAGAGUAGUUGCGGUAGGCGGAAUGUAUGGUGUAGCGGUGAAAUGCUUAGAGAUCAUACAGGACACCGAUUGCGAAGGCAGCUUACCAAGCUACUUCUGACGUUGAGGCACGAAAGCGUGGGGAGCAAACAGGAUUAGAUACCCCUGUAGUC